CCUACGGGAGGCAGCAGUGAGGAAUAUUGGUCAAUGGGCGGGAGCCUGAACCAGCCAAGUAGCGUGCAGGACGACGGCCCUACGGGUUGUAAACUGCUUUUAUGAGGGGAUAAAGUGGGCUACGUGUAGCUUAUUGCAGGUACCUCAUGAAUAAGGACCGGCUAAUUCCGUGCCAGCAGCCGCGGUAAUA
This 190-nucleotide ribosomal RNA is filed under the name uncultured rumen bacterium. RNAcentral describes it as "partial 16S ribosomal RNA". It matches the Rfam family "Bacterial small subunit ribosomal RNA", at positions 338 to 525 of the family's 1533-position model. The record is from RNAcentral.